Molecule: ribosomal RNA, 776 nt
Filed under: uncultured Neocallimastigales
Lineage: Eukaryota; Fungi; Neocallimastigomycota; Neocallimastigomycetes; Neocallimastigales
Description: partial large subunit ribosomal RNA
Rfam family: Eukaryotic large subunit ribosomal RNA
Source: RNAcentral
UACGACUACAUAUCAGGCAUAUCAAUAAGCGGAGGAAAAGAAACUAACAAGGAUUCCCCUUAGUAACGGCGAGUGAAGCGGGAAGAGCUCAAAUUUGAAAUCUUAAAGGGUUUCCCCUUACGAAUUGUAGUUUAAAGAAGUGUUUUCUGUUGGAGUUUCGGUAAAAGUUCUUUGGAAUAGGACAUCAUAGAGGGUGAGAAUCCCGUAUUUGACCGUUACUUUCCAGCUGUGUGAUACACUUUCAAAGAGUCGGACUGUUUGGGAAUGCAGUCCAAGAUGGGUGGUAAAUUUCAUCUAAAGCUAAAUAUUGGCGAGAGACCGAUAGCGAACAAGUACCGUGAGGGAAAGAUGAAAAGAACUUUGAAAAGAGAGUUAAACAGUACGUGAAAUUGUCAAAAGGGAAGCGUUUGACACCAGUGUUGUUUAGUUGAAAAUCAAUUCAAUAGUUUUUGAUUCUAAGUAGUAUUGACUUCAUCAGCUUGCUGCUUUCUUCUCAGAAAUUAUUGAAUGCACUUUUCAGUUAACAAGUCAACAUCAAUUUCUUUUGUUGUAAAAGGGUAAGAGGAAGGUGGCUUGCGCUUCGGCUCAAGUGUUUAUAGCCUUUUAUCUCUGCAAUCGGAGAGAUUGAGGUCUGCAGCGUAGAUCCUUCGGGGUUAGAUACAUUGGUGCUAAGCUAUAGCCUUGUAUAGACAACUUGUUGACUAUGCUCAGUCAUGUAGCUUACUCGCUGAUGCUAUUUUACCUACGCUUAGGAUGUUGAGUAGCGACAUACGCAC